This 495-nucleotide ribosomal RNA is filed under the name Trapezionida gordoae. RNAcentral describes it as "Munida gordoae partial 16S ribosomal RNA". It matches the Rfam family "Bacterial large subunit ribosomal RNA", at positions 1858 to 2606 of the family's 2925-position model. Lineage: Eukaryota; Metazoa; Arthropoda; Malacostraca; Decapoda; Munididae. The record is from RNAcentral.
CCUGCCCAUUGAUGUUUUAAAAGGCCGCAGUAUAUUAACUGUGCAAAGGUAGCAUAAUCAUUAGUUUUUUAAUUGAAGGCUUGUAUGAAGGGUUGGACAAAGAAUAAUCUGUUUUUAAUUUUGUUUUUGAAUUUAACUUUUAAGUGAAAAGGCUUAAAUGAAUUUGAGGGACGAUAAGACCCUAUAAAUCUUUAUAUUAAGUUGUUUUUUAUUAAUUAAUAUUGUAGAUGAAGUAAUAAAAUUAUAUAUAUUGUGUUGGGGCGAUGAGAAUAUAAAUAAAUAACUGUUCUAGUGUAGAAAAACAAAAUUAUUUGGAUAUUGGUAGAUCCUUUAGUUAAGAUUAAAAGUUUAAGUUACUUUAGGGAUAACAGCGUUAUUUUUUUUGAGAGUUCUUAUCGAAAAAAAAGUUUGCGACCUCGAUGUUGAAUUAAAAUUUCUUUGUGGUGUAGUAGCUAUGUGAAGAGAGUCUGUUCGACUUUUAAAGGAGCUUGAGCC